AUACGGAGGAUGCGAGCGUUGUCCGGAAUGAUUGGGCGUAAAGGGCGCGUAGGCGGCGCGGUAAGUCUGGAGUGAAAGUCCUGCUUUCAAGGUGGGAAUUGCUUUGGAUACUGCCGCGCUUGAGUGCAGGAGAGGUUAUCGGAAUUCCCGGUGUAGCGGUGAAAUGCGUAGAGAUCGGGAGGAACACCAGUGGCGAAGGCGGGUAACUGGACUGCAACUGACGCUGAGGCGCGAAAGUGUGGGGAGCAAACAGGAUUAGAUACCCUGGUAGUCCACACUGUAAACGAUGAAUACUAGGUGUAGGGGGUAUCGACUCCCUCUGUGCCGCAGUUAACACAAUAAGUAUUCUGCCUGGGGAGUACGGCCGCAAGGUUGAAACUUAAAGGAAUUGACGGGG
This 397-nucleotide ribosomal RNA is filed under the name uncultured bacterium. RNAcentral's name for it is "partial 16S ribosomal RNA". It matches the Rfam family "Bacterial small subunit ribosomal RNA", at positions 523 to 918 of the family's 1533-position model. The record is from RNAcentral.